ACAGACCUGGCUGCCCCCAGGAUGUGGGUGCAUCCUCACGGUGGGGGUCCAGAUUGGCCCACGCGCUCUGUUGCGGGCAGUGCCGAAUGCUGUGUCACUUGGCUACCAUGAUGUUUUAGCAGGAGGCAGCUGCCUGAAGAGGAUUCCUCCCAAUACGACGUCUACAGCUUUACUGCAGGAGACAGAUAAAUUGCUGUUGCUUUUAAAAGCCAUUUCCCUCACUAGGAGCGACUUGUAACCAAAGGAAAAUCUCCGAAAAGUUAAACAAUUAGCCAGUGGAAUCGCAUUGCUUCCUACCUGCCCAUCAAUCGCAAAUGGAGGAGAACUCUCAUAUGCUUGGGAGCUUUGCCAGGGGAGGCAGUUCAGGUUCAGUAAGCCCACCUGGGCAGGGUCCAGCACCAUCCUUCUCUUUCCCGAGGACCAGCAGUGAGAAUUAAGCCAGUGCUGCCCAUUCAUGUGACAGGGUGAGCGGUGAGUCGCGACAGAGCGCCGGUGACGAUGCUGAGGUUCACCUGGGCCCUGCGUUCCUGGAGAGCAGUGAGGGGGCCCUUCUGAGGAUCGGUUGAUGGCAAAACAAACAAACAAAAACCCUAAAAACGCUUCCGGCUCCCGUGACAGAUCAGGCCACCGGCUCACCCACCCAUCACAACCUGUUCGCCCCCUCACAAAAGCCCUUCUCCACGAACUGCAAACGUUCCUCUUGACAAGCUCCUCGCUCCUGUCCAACUUGCAGUUGUUUCUUUGACAUUGUUUUCGGAAGGAUGGAAGGUGAAACCUAACUCCCGCUUGAGGCUUAAACACAGUUUACCAGGCAUGUGGCAACAAGGGGUUAGAAAACCCGCUCAGAUGAAAGGAACUGGCACUUGCUUCUCGGUCUGCCUGCAUGUGCUCUGCUGGAAUCCUGGGUUGGCUGCCCCAAAAUGUAGUGCAAUAGCAUAAUGGUUGUUUUUAAGAUUUUUUUUUUAUGAACCAUUUUUAAAGUCAUUAUUGAAUGUGUGACAAUG
Molecule: long non-coding RNA, 1004 nt
Organism: Bubalus bubalis (water buffalo)
Lineage: Eukaryota; Metazoa; Chordata; Mammalia; Artiodactyla; Bovidae
Exons: 3
Source: RefSeq, a predicted model, not a curated record